AUGUUGGUCUAUCGGGGCCUGUCUGUGUCUGCCUAUCGUGGCUGUCUGCGUCUGGCCUAUCGUGGCUAUUUAUGUACGGUCUAUUGGGGCCUGUCUGUGUCUGCCUAUCGUGGCUGUCUGCGUCUGGCCUAUCGUGGCUAUUUAUGUUCGGCCUAUCGGGGCCUGUCCGUGUCUGCCUAUCAUGGCUAUUUCUGUUGGUCUAUCGAGGCCUGUCUGUGUCUGCCUAUCGUGGCUAUUUCUGUUGGUCUAUCGAGGCCUGUCUGUGUCUGCCUAUCGUGGCUAUUUCUGUUGGUCUAUCGAGGCCUGUCUGUGUCUGCCUAUCGUGGCUAUUUCUGUUGGUCUAUCGAGGCCUGUCUGUGUCGGCCUAUCGUGGCUAUUUCUGUUGGUCUAUCGAGGCCUGUUUGUGCCUGCCUAUCGUGGCUGUCUGUGUCUGCCUAUCGUGGCUAUUUCUGUUGGUCUAUCGAGGCCUGUUUGUGCUGCCUAUCGUGGCUGUCUGUGUCUGCCUAUCGUGGCUAUAUCUGUUGGUCUAUCGAGGCCUGUCCGUGUCUGCCUAUCAUGGCUAUUUCUGUUGGUCUAUCGAGGCCUGUCUGUGUCUGCCUAUCGUGGCUAUUUCUGUUGGUCUAUCGAGGCCUGUCUGUGUCUGCCUAUCGUGGCUAUUUCUGUUGGUCUAUCGAGGCCUGUUUGUGCCUGCCUAUCGUGGCUGUCUGUGUCUGCCUAUCGUGGCUAUUUCUGUUGGUCUAUCGAGGCCUGUUUGUGCUGCCUAUCGUGGCUGUCUGUGUCUGCCUAUCGUGGCUAUUUCUGUUGGUCUAUCGAGGCCUGUUUGUGCUGCCUAUCGUGGCUGUCCGUGCCUGCCUAUCGUGGCUGUGUGUGUCUGCCUAUCGUUGCUGUCUGUGUCUGGCCUAUUGCGGCUAUUUCUGUAAAAAGCUUAAGAAGUUUAAUCUAACGUUAUUUAUACUGGUCAUGCUAACUCUCUUUCUAUUUCUUCCAGGAACCUUAGGAUUCACAACUGGUGGGUAUACUUCAUCUACUUUUUUGGGGGGAAGGCUGGCCCCGUCUGGAGGUCUCAUAAUCCACCUAAUUUUGGGGGUCUGCUGCGCCCCUGCCUUCGUCUUCAGGCAGGAAAUGCAGAUUCGCUACCCUCGGAUUACGAACCAUGGACGGGGCCUUCCGCCAAAGAAAUUUAUAAUUGUGCUCGCUGAGCUGUCAAUAAAUGUAUGCUUCGUACAUUCCUCUAUCUCCCGAGUCUUUCUGGUAGAACUAACAAACUGGUUUUAA
This 1275-nucleotide long non-coding RNA is filed under the name Carassius auratus (goldfish). RNAcentral's name for it is "lncRNA (ENSCARG00000014305.1)". The record is from RNAcentral. Lineage: Eukaryota; Metazoa; Chordata; Actinopteri; Cypriniformes; Cyprinidae.